RNAcentral lists this transfer RNA (73 nucleotides) under Pleurotus ostreatus PC15. RNAcentral describes it as "tRNA-Tyr (GTA) (tRNA-Tyr-GTA-1-1, tRNA-Tyr-GTA-1-2)". It matches the Rfam family "tRNA". Rfam says of the family: Transfer RNA (tRNA) molecules are approximately 80 nucleotides in length. Their secondary structure includes four short double-helical elements and three loops (D, anti-codon, and T loops). Further hydrogen bonds mediate the characteristic L-shaped molecular structure. tRNAs have two regions of fundamental functional importance: the anti-codon, which is responsible for specific mRNA codon recognition, and the 3' end, to which the tRNAs corresponding amino acid is attached (by aminoacyl-tRNA synthetases). tRNAs cope with the degeneracy of the genetic code in two manners: having more than one tRNA (with a specific anti-codon) for a particular amino acid; and 'wobble' base-pairing, i.e. permitting non-standard base-pairing at the 3rd anti-codon position. Lineage: Eukaryota; Fungi; Basidiomycota; Agaricomycetes; Agaricales; Pleurotaceae. The record is from RNAcentral.
CCCUCGGUAGCUCAGUUGGAAGAGCGUGGGACUGUAAAUCCCAAGGCCACUGGUUCGAUCCCGGUCUGAGGGA